This is a long non-coding RNA of Homo sapiens (human), 469 nucleotides long. RefSeq annotates it as SBNO1 antisense RNA 1. Lineage: Eukaryota; Metazoa; Chordata; Mammalia; Primates; Hominidae. The record is from RefSeq and is marked validated. The transcript is spliced from 2 exons.
ACCCGCCUCUCUGCGCCCCUCUCCGCCCCGCCUCCCUCCUAGGUGAAGGAAGAUGAUUUCCCCCCCAUCUUGACCACCCCCCAGUCUUCGCCGCCAAAAACGGACUCCGCCGGCUAUCCUCGGCCCGGUACCAGUUGUUGGAUCCAAGAGAAUUCCGGAACCCAAACGGUCCAUUACCGCGGCUCUGGGGCUCGCUCAAAGCACUUUAUUGGCAGUGAAACCGCAAGUAACCCGGAGCCCUCGGCGCGACCACGGCUAGAAUCAGAGCCUAAGGCGUGUGAGCUCAGCCAUCCCACGUCUGUCUUCACGCUCAUACGCAAGCCCGACACACCGGGGCUCCCACUUAAUGAAUACUGAAGAGUAGGGCUGUCCCUACCGCUUCUCACUUCCUUGUUUUCAUCUUUUCGUUAUUAUUAAGCGACCUAACACAAUAAACAUAUUACCUUGUUGGUAACCCUUUUGUAAAGUC